UGAAAGACCCCAGCUUAGCAGCAGUAACGCCAUUUUGCAAGGCUAUAUUUAAGAUGACUGGUUCAGAGAAAGGUUAGAACACUGAGUACACAGCGGCUGCCAAACAAGAUGUGUUUGGUUGAAGGCCUGGCAACAGGAGGACUGCCGUUGAGCACCUGACAAUGAGAAAAGCCCCGAGAGAGGUCCCACACCCUGGUGGGGGGCCGAGUCAGCCGUUAUGUUCCAAGAAGGUAGCUAAGAAACUUGCCCCCGGGCUGAACCCUUGGGGGGCCGAGUCAGCUGUUAUGUUUCAGGAAGGUAGCUAGGAAACUUGCCCCCGGGCUAAACCCUUGCCAUAUUAGAAUCCACCAAUUAUAUCCCUGUAACCAUGCAUCUGCUUCUGUAUGCUUGCUUCUGCUCCCCAAAAUCCUAUAAAAGCCCAUCCUUGGUUCCGUGGGGCGCGCCAGUCCCCCGAGUGACUGAAGCGCCCGCAGGUGCCUGUGCCUGUGUAUCCCGACAAUAAACCAAAUCCUCUUGCUGAUUACAUCCUGUGGUGUCUCGGUCUGGUCUUUGGAGUUAGAGGGUCUCCAUCCCGAGGGAAAGUUCUCCCUGAGAGCUUUUCAUUUGGUGCGUUGGCCGGGAAAGGAGAUCCUCCACCCAGGGACCACCGACCACCCACUGGGAGGUAAGCCGGCCGGCGUCUGUCUGUCUGUCUGAUUUUGUCUCGUUCUGCCUUAUUCUGUCUGUUCUGUGAGCGCUCAGCCAGGUCUGUUCUGUGAGCGCUCAGCCAGGUCUGUUCUGUGAGCGCUCAGCCAGGUUGUUUGGAAUUUGGGCGGGACGAAGAAGGAGCUGACGAGCUCGGACUUCUUGCCCCGCAGCCCUGGAAGACGUUCCAAGGGUGUUAGGGGCCCGACUUUUCGGGGCCCAAUCUGGGAGAGGAGAAAGAUCCGGACUAACGGCACCUCUGUCUGUAUUUUUGGCUUUCAGAGGGCCCCGGACCUUUGCCACCUCCAUCUGACUUUUUGCUUUCAGUUUGGUACCAAAGCCGUGCAGCACGCCUGUCUGUUGUUUGUUUGACUGUUGGUGUUGUUUGUUUUCUCUGUGUUCUAAUCUUCCUUAGAACUAACAUGGGACAGUCCCUAACAACGCCCCUAAGUCUCACUCUUGAUCAUUAGAAAGACAUCCACGACCGGACACACAACCAGUCCGUCGAGGUUAAAAAAAAGGAAAAUGGCAGACUCUCUGCACAUCCGAGUGGCCCACUUUCGGAGCGGGAUGGCCAGUGAAUGGCACAUUUAAUAAGAUCAUUAUUUUACAGGUUAAAGAUCGGGUCGUCCACGGACAUCCUGACCAGGUUUCUUAUAUUAUCACUUGAGAGAGUCUCGCCUUAAAACCCUCCCCCUGGGCGGAACCCUUCGUGGACCCGAAUUGGCCUCCCCUCAACCCCCAGCCUGUCCCCUCGGCCCCGCCCGGUCCGCCGGCCACGUCUUCCUCUCUCUACCUUUGUGAAAUCAGAGCCUUCUAAGAAACCUGUCCUCCCGGCAGACCCAAACUCCCCUCUCAUAGAUCUUCUCUCUGACAGGCCCGGCUAAAACGGAGGAGGCAGAGCCGCCGGCCAGAUCAGUUGCCGGGCCACAGUCUGAUAAGGGUUUCUCCCCUGUCGCAGGGAGAUUGCACAAUAAGCGCGAGGUGAUGCCAGAUUCAACCUCCCAGGCUUUCCCACUUAGACAGGGAACCGGUGGCCAGACCCAAUACUGGCCGUUUUCAGCAGCUGACAUUUACAAUUGGAAACAACACAACCCUUCUUUCUCCAAAGAUCCGGUGGCACUCACCGACCUAAUAGAAUCUGUUUUACUUACCCACCAGCCUACUUGGGAUGACUGCCAACAGCUCUUACAGGCCCUCUUAACCUCAGAAAAAAAAAAAACAAAGAGUGUUCCUAGAGGCCAGAAAGCAUGUUCUGGGAGAUGAUGGGCGUCCCACCCAGCUGCCUGAGGAAAUUGAUGCUACAUUCCCACUUAAGAGACCAAACUGGGAUUUUAAUACAGCUGAAGGUAAGGGACACCUACGCCUUUAUCGCCAGUUGCUUCUAGCGGGUCUCCGAGGGGCUAUACGACGCCCUACUAAUUUGGCUCAGGUAAAACAGGUAUUACAGGAAGCAGGGGAAACUCCCUCCGCCUUUCUAGAGAGACUUAAGGAGGCCUACCGUAUGUACACUCCCUAUGACCCAGAUGACCCAGGACAAAUGACGAGUGUCUCUAUGUCCUUCAUCUGGCAGGCUGCUCCAGAUAUCAGGACUAAGUUACAGAGGUUAGAAAAUUUGCAGGGCUAUACAUUACAGGAUUUACUUAAAAAAGCUGAAAAGAUUUUUAAUAAGAGAGAAAAUUGAGUUGAAUCUUGGCCGCCGUAGUUCAGGGCCAAGAAAGGAAGGGAGAUAGGGGGGAGCUCGAAAGGGGCUAAAGCUGGAUAAAGAUCAAUGUGCCUAUUACAAAGAGAAAGGGCACUGGGCCAGAGAGUGCCCCAAGAAGCCUGGCGGACCCCGAAAGCCUCGACCACGAACCUCCCUCUUGGCUCUAGAUAAAGAUUAGGGAGGUCAGGGCCAGGAGCCCCCCCUGAGCCCAGGGUAACGCUUAAAGUUGGGGGGCAGCCGGUUGCUUUCCUGAUAGACACAGGAGCCCAACAUUCAGUCCUCACUCAAGCUUCAGGACAACUCAGCGACCGGACGGCCUGGGUAGAAGGAGCUACUGGUGAGAAACAAUACCGAUGGACUACGGACCGCCGGGUUCAGCUGGCUACUGGUAAGGUGACCCAUUCCUUCUUACAUGUUCCGGACUGCCCGUACCCUCUGCUGGGCCGUGACCUGCUCACCAAACUAAAAGCACAAAUUCAUUUUGAGAAAGGAGGGGCCCAAAUAACUGGCCCCCACGGAACUCCCCUUCAAGUUCUAACCCUAUGAACUGGGACAGGACACUGGCUUGGACAGAGACUGGUGGGAUGGGGUUGGCGCUCCAACAGCCCCCCUUAAUUACAACUCCAGUCUCCAUAAAACAAUACCCCCUGUCCCAUGAAGCUUAUCAAGGUAUAAGGCCUCACAUUACGAGGCUUCUGGAUCAAGGCAUCCUAGUCCCCUGCCGGUCGCCUUGGAAUACGCCUCUUCUGCCUGUUAAGAAACCUGGCACUGGAGCUUAUAGGCCAAUACAAGACUUGAGAAAGGUCAACAAGAGGAUAGAAGAUAUUCAUCCGACUGUUCCAAACCCUUACAAUUUGCUCAGUAACUGUUCAUCGAUGAGAAACAGGGGUAUGCUAAAGGGGUCCUAACACAAAGGUUGGGACUCUGAAAACGCCCUGUGGCCUACCUGUCUAAGAAAUUGGACCCUGUGGCCUCCGGCUGGCCACCGUGCCUAAGGAUGGUGGCUGCUAUUGCUGUCCUGAUCAAGGAUGCUGGAAAAUUGACUUUGGGACAGCCACUCACCAUCCUAGCACCCCACGCAGUGGAGGCCUUGAUAAAGCAGCCCCCAGACCGCUGGCUCUCUAAUUCUCGCACCAAGCCUUGUUACUGGAUGCAGAACGGGUUCAGUUUGGGCCCGUAGUCGCCCUCAAUCCUGCCACCUUGCUUCCUCUACCAGAGGAGGCAGAACAACAUGACUGACUACAAAUCCUCGCAGAAGUACAUGGAACCAGGCUGGACCUAUCGGACCAGCCUCUUCAGAAUGCUGACCACACAUGGUACACGGAUGACAACAGCUUCUUGGCAGAGGGAGAGCGAAAGGCUGGAGCUGCGGUCACUACGGAGGACAAAGUGAUUUGGGCGAAAGCCCUGCCUGCUGGUACCUCCGCACAACGGGCUGAACUCAUCGCCUUGACUCAGGCGCUCAAGAUGACAAAAGGUAAGAGGCUAAAUAUAUAUACAGACAGCCGUUAUGCCUUUGCCACGGUACACAUCCACGGGGAGAUCUACCGGAGGCGGGGGCUGCUCACAUCUAAAGAUAAAGAUAUUAAAAAUAAGGCUAAAAUUCUGGCCCUCUUAGAAGCCCUAUUCUUGCCCAAAAGACUGAGUAUUAUACAUUGUCCAGGACACCAGAAAGGGCACAACCCAGAGACACGAAGAAACCGGCUGGCCAAUGCCACGGCUCGAGAAGCGGCCAUGAACAAAUAAAUCUUGCCCUUAAAUAGCCCAGACCAACCCACGCCCCCACCAAUGGGACAAACCAGUUGGGUUUAUGCCCAUGAGGACAUAGAGCUCCUAAAAAAAAUGGGGGCCAUCUACCACCCUCAACUAAAACAGUGGGUCUACAAAGGAAAGACAGUUAUGCCAAUAAAAAUGACUUUUAAAUUGAUCUCCUUUUUACAUAAAUUAACCCAUUUGGGGUUUAAAAAGAUGACUAGAUCGAGAAGAGAUAAAUCUGUGUUUUUUAAAUCGGGACAAAGCGAUACAAAAGGUGACUGAGAGUUACAAAGCGUGCGCUCAGGUUAACCCAAGAAAGACCAUGAUUAGACAAGGAGUUCAUCCUAGGAGACACCGUCCCGACAUCCAUUGAGAAAUUGGUUUUACUAAAAUUAAACCAGGUAUAUAUGGAUACAAGUAUCUCCUAGUGUUUGUAGACACCUUCUCAGGAUGGGUCGAAGCCUUCCCCACAAAGCACGAGACUACAAAAAUGGUCACCAAGAAGCUCCUCGAGGAAAUCUUUCCCAGGUAUGGCAUGCCUCAAGCGUUGGGGUCGGACAACGGGCCCGCUUUCGUCUCCCAAGUAAGUCAGUUGGUGGCCAAAUUGCUGGGGAUUGAUUGGAAAUUACAUUGUGCCUAUAGACCCCAGAGUUCAGGUCAGGUAGAACACAUAAAUAGAACAAUUAAGGAGACUUUAUCCAAACUUACGCUUACAACUGGCUCAAAGGAUUGAGUGGCCCUCCUUCCCCUAGUUCUAUAUCGGGCCCGGAAUACCCCGGGCCCCCAUGGUCUAACUCCUUUUAAAAUAAUAUAUAGAACACCACCCCCAUUUGUCCAUUUCUUUGAUUCAAACAUUGCUGAUUUUGCUGACAGCCCUUCUCUGAGGGCCCAUUUACAGGCCCUACAGAUUGUGCAGAGAGACGUCUAGAGACCUUUGGCCGCUGCUUACCAGGACAAGCUUGAACAUCCGGUGGUGCCACACCCGUUCCAGAUUGGAGACACCGUGUGGGUACACAGACACCAGACCAAGAAUCUCGAGCCACGGUGGAAAGGACCCUACACCGUCCUCCUGACUACCCCGACCACCCUAAAGGUAGACGGAGUCUCGGCUUAGAUCCACGCACCACACGUCAAGGCAGUCCAGUCUGAGGAAUUGACUAAUCACAACACUACACCCCAGACAUGGAGAGUUCAGCACACUCCAAACCCCUUAAAGUUAAAACUCCUACGUGGCUUCUCCUAGCCCUUUUGUGGCCUAGAGUCAGUGGGGAAAUAAGCCCCCACCAGACAAAAAUUUCUUGACCAAGUCGAGUGAAAGAUUUCACUCAAAGUUAACAAAAAAAAAAAUGAGAAAAUAAAAGACCCCAGCUUAACAGCAGUAACGCCAUUUUACAAGGCUAUAUUUAAGAUGACUGGUUCAGAGAAAGGUUAGAACACUGAGUACACAGCGGCUGCCAAACAAGAUGUGUUUGGUUGAAGGCCUGGCAACAGGAGGACUGCCGUUGAGCACCUGACAAUGAGAAAAGCCCCGAGAGAGGUCCCACACCCUGGUGGGGGGCCGAGUCAGCCGUUAUGUUCCAAGAAGGUAGCUAAGAAACUUGCCCCCGGGCUGAACCCUUGGGGGGCCGAGUCAGCCGUUAUGUUUCAGGAAGGUAGCUAGGAAACUUGCCCCCGGGCUAAACCCUUGCCAUAUUAGAAUCCACCAAUUAUAUCCCUGUAACCAUGCAUCUGCUUCUGUAUGCUUGCUUCUGCUCCCCAAAAUCCUAUAAAAGCCCAUCCUUGGUUCCGUGGGGCGCGCCAGUCCCCCGAGUGACUGAAGCGCCCGCAGGUGCCUGUGCCUGUGUAUCCCGACAAUAAACCAAAUCCUCUUGCUGAUUA
Molecule: non-coding RNA, 6022 nt
Organism: Rattus norvegicus (Norway rat)
Lineage: Eukaryota; Metazoa; Chordata; Mammalia; Rodentia; Muridae
Source: RefSeq, a predicted model, not a curated record